RNAcentral lists this long non-coding RNA (277 nucleotides) under Brachypodium distachyon (stiff brome). RNAcentral describes it as "long non-coding RNA (BDIS_LNC001514)". Lineage: Eukaryota; Viridiplantae; Streptophyta; Magnoliopsida; Poales; Poaceae. The record is from RNAcentral.
UUGAAACCUGCGAACCUUUUUUUCUGUACAUCUUCUCGCGGCUGCACUUGCUCUCCAACAUGGAAAGAAAUAUUAACACCAAUAAAAAAUGAUAUGAUUUUCAGAUGCUUGUAAUUUCAAUAUUGGAUAUGUGUUAUGACUGUCAUAUGCUUGUAAUUUCAAUACUAUUCUAGAGAUGGCUUUGUCAUUGGUAAUACUUGAUAAAAUUAUGCACCAAGUUGAUGGUUUGUCUUAAAAAAAUGAAAGUGUAUUUUGACUAAUCAGUUUCAGGGCCUAU